Molecule: ribosomal RNA, 216 nt
Filed under: Glomeromycotina sp.
Lineage: Eukaryota; Fungi; Glomeromycota
Description: partial small subunit ribosomal RNA
Rfam family: Eukaryotic small subunit ribosomal RNA (bases 92-216)
Source: RNAcentral
GGGUCAGUAGGUUGGUCGUGCCACCGGUACGUACUGGUCUCACUGAUUCCUCCUUCCUGAAGAGCCGUAAUGCCAUUAAUUUGGUGUGGCGGGGAAACAGGACUGUUACUUUGAAAAAAUUAGAGUGUUUAAAGCAAGCUAACGCUUGAAUACAUUAGCAUGGAAUAAUGAAAUAGGACGAUCGAUCCUAUUUUGUUGGUUUCUAGGAUUGACGUA